Molecule: long non-coding RNA, 1228 nt
Filed under: Vulpes vulpes (red fox)
Lineage: Eukaryota; Metazoa; Chordata; Mammalia; Carnivora; Canidae
Description: lncRNA (ENSVVUG00000012051.1)
Source: RNAcentral
GGGUAAGAUGCAGAUCUUCUCAGGUUUUUUGAACUUACAAAUAUGUUCAUGGUAGAAAUAUUAGAAGCAUAGCCAAUAACUUCUAGCUCCUGACAUAUUCUCUGCAGUGGAAAUUAAAAUAGAAUAAAUAUUCUUUUCACUAAGUAUUUUGAUGGACAAACUAGGCACUGAACCAUGAGACUUUGCUGAGGUUCCCAAAGAUCAGAUGUUUAAAACCAACAUCCUCUCCUCAGGGAACUUUCUCUAAGUGAUGACUCUUCCAGAGGUAGAAGGGGAAUUCUGACCAAAUCAAGAGAUACCAAAUAGUGAUUGAAAGUAAACAUGUGUUUCUAACUCAUUAGCUUUUAGGAACUCAGCAGGUCUUGCUGUAUUUAUCAUUAAUACUUUCUGUAAUAACCUGUAUGCAGUUGCUCUCUGAUUCAAAACAUGUCAUUUACUUAGAAUCCAAGGGCAACCAUUACAAAAAUCCCAGUCACUUUCAGAACCAGACAAAUUAUUUUACUCAAUGAAUCUCUGUAAUAAAGACAUAUUUAGAAGCAAAAAGAAAUCAAAUCUCUGUAUCACUGGGAUCUAUAUGGCUGGCCCCUGGUUGAGCUAAAAUGUAAGCACAUGUAUUAUAUUAAGAUUGUCAUAAUUUUUUUUUUCAUUUAAGAAGAACACUGUGAGAUUAGAACAGAGCUAUGUUCUCCUUUGUAUCCCAAGGCUCCAUGAGGGUGGGGUGACAUGGAUUAUGAAGCAACAAAUCAAAGACCUUGAUUUUCCUGAGAAAAUUCUGAAAUGCACAUAGUAAUAGAUUAUUUGUUCAGUGAGGAAAAAGAAACAGAAUUUCAAGCAAGCCUUUAGGACUCCAGAGAAAACUAGCCUUGUCCAAGCAGAGCAGAGAGGAAGCAGAUGACAUCAAUGGUUGCUAUUCAGGAAGCUUUAAUUCAACUGAGCAAAUAUUGAUGGAAAGUCAAGACCAGCAGAAUGGCCCUUCAAGGUUUCUUCUAAUUUCAGGAUUCCACAAAGCCUGUGGAAAUGCUACAUGUCAUGGAGGACGGAGGAAGGGAUGUGUGCAGUGGCGGCGGAGGGGAUGUAUAUUUUGUUUGUUUGCUGAAUUUUAAUAAGGCCAUCUUGGUUUCUGCAUGAAAAUGAAAUGUGAGUUCAAUUCACUGAUAUAUAUUCUCCAAUGAAAAUCCAGAGCCUGACCCAGAAUCACUGCUCUGGCUCCUUCAGAUUUGAGUCAUUA